ACGAACGCUGGCGGCGUGCUUAACACAUGCAAGUCGAACGGAAAGGCCCUGCUUUUGUGGGGUGCUCGAGUGGCGAACGGGUGAGUAACACGUGAGUAACCUGCCCUUGACUUUGGGAUAACUUCAGGAAACUGGGGCUAAUACCGGAUAGGAGCUCCUGCUGCAUGGUGGGGGUUGGAAAGUUUCGGCGGUUGGGGAUGGACUCGCGGCUUAUCAGCUUGUUGGUGGGGUAGUGGCUUACCAAGGCUUUGACGGGUAGCCGGCCUGAGAGGGUGACCGGCCACAUGGGGACUGAGAUACGGCCCAGACUCCUACGGGAGGCAGCAGUGGGGAAUAUUGCACAAGGGGCGGAAGCCUGAUGCAGCAACGCCGCGUGCGGGAUGACGGCCUUCGGGUUGUAAACCGCUUUCGCCUGUGACGAAGCGUGAGUGACGGGAAUGGGUAAAGAAGCACCGGCUAACUACG
RNAcentral lists this ribosomal RNA (465 nucleotides) under uncultured bacterium. RNAcentral's name for it is "partial 16S ribosomal RNA". It matches the Rfam family "Bacterial small subunit ribosomal RNA", at positions 29 to 505 of the family's 1533-position model. The record is from RNAcentral.